UACGUAGGGGGCGAGCGUUGUCCGGAAUCAUUGGGCGUAAAGAGCGUGUAGGUGGACUGGAAGGUCUGGUGUGAAAGCCCGGGGCUCAACCCCGGAGGGUCACUGGAAACCAACAGUCUUGAGUCCGGAAGAGGAGAGUGGAAUUCCUGGUGUAGCGGUGGAAUGCGCAGAUAUCAGGAGGAACACCGAUGGCGAAGGCAGCUCUCUGGUACGUGACUGACACUGAGACGCGAAAGCGUGGGGAGCGAACAGGAUUAGAAACCCCCGUAGUCC
RNAcentral lists this ribosomal RNA (273 nucleotides) under uncultured bacterium. RNAcentral describes it as "partial 16S ribosomal RNA". It matches the Rfam family "Bacterial small subunit ribosomal RNA", at positions 524 to 796 of the family's 1533-position model. The record is from RNAcentral.